Molecule: ribosomal RNA, 254 nt
Filed under: uncultured bacterium
Lineage: Bacteria
Description: partial 16S ribosomal RNA
Rfam family: Bacterial small subunit ribosomal RNA
Source: RNAcentral
UACGUAGGGUGCAAGCGUUGUCCGGAAUUAUUGGGCGUAAAGAGCUCGUAGGCGGUCUGUCGCGUCGGCUGUGAAAAACCCGGAGCUCAACUCCGGGCCUGCAGUCGAUACGGGCAGACUGGAGUUCGGCAGGGGGAGACUGGAAUUCCUGGUGUAGCGGUGAAAUGCGCAGAUAUCAGGAGGAACACCGGUGGCGAAGGCGGGGUCUCUGGGGCCGAUACUGACGUGAGGAGCGAAAAGCGUGGGGGAGCGAA